RNAcentral lists this ribosomal RNA (253 nucleotides) under uncultured bacterium. RNAcentral describes it as "partial 16S ribosomal RNA". It matches the Rfam family "Bacterial small subunit ribosomal RNA", at positions 524 to 776 of the family's 1533-position model. The record is from RNAcentral.
UACGGAGGGUGCAAACGUUGCUCGGAAUCAUUGGGCGUAAAGCGCACGUAGGCGGACCAGCAAGUCGGAUGUGAAAUCCCUCGGCUUAACCGAGGACGUGCAUUCGAAACUGCUGGCCUUGAGUACGAAAGAGGAUCGCGGAAUUCCCGGUGUAGAGGUGAAAUUCGUAGAUAUCGGGAGGAACACCAGUGGCGAAGGCGGCGACCUGGGUCGAUACUGACACUGAGGUGCGAAAGCGUGGGGAGCAAACAGG